This 301-nucleotide ribosomal RNA is filed under the name uncultured bacterium. RNAcentral describes it as "partial 16S ribosomal RNA". It matches the Rfam family "Bacterial small subunit ribosomal RNA", at positions 509 to 808 of the family's 1533-position model. The record is from RNAcentral.
CAGCAGCGCGGGAAUACGAAGGGUGCAAGCGUUAAUCGGAAUUACUGGGCGUAAAGCGCGCGUAGGUGGUUUGGUAAGAUGGAUGUGAAAUCCCCGGGCUCAACCUGGGAACUGCAUCCAUAACUGCCUGACUAGAGUACGUUAGAGGGUGGUGGAAUUUCCUGUGUAGCGGUGAAAUGCGUAGAUAUAGGAAGGAACACCAGUGGCGAAGGCGACCACCUGGACUGAUACUGACACUGAGGUGCGAAAGCGUGGGGAGCAAACAGGAUUAGAUACCCGAGUAGUCCCUGUCUCUUAUACA